AUAGAGCUCUGGAGGAUGGGAAUGAAAAUGGAGGCCUCUUAAUCUCCAGCCAGGAGGAGAUGAGAGCUCGGCGUCCCACUCCUCAUUGCGCCCUCAGAGAAAAGCGCUCAAUCACUACCAUCUCCCUGGUCUCCGGCCGCUCUCUGAGCUCACCCGGCCUGCAACUGGGUCAAG
Lutra lutra (Eurasian river otter) is the source of this 174-nucleotide long non-coding RNA. RefSeq lists it as uncharacterized. The record is from RefSeq and is a predicted model, not a curated record. Lineage: Eukaryota; Metazoa; Chordata; Mammalia; Carnivora; Mustelidae. The transcript has 3 exons.